GUCAUGGCUACAGUGAUACGGGUACGGGGAUCAGGGUUCGAUUCCGGAGAGGAAGCCUGAGAAACGGCUACCACAUCCAAGGACGGCAGCAGGCGCGCAAAUUACCCAAUCCAGAUACUGGGAGGUGGUGACGAGAAAUACCAGGUCGUUCCCACAAGGAUUCGACACUGGAAUGAGUUCAGUUUAAAUAUUUGUUCGAGUAACAACUGGAGGGCAAGUCUGGUGCCAGCAGCCGCGGUAAUUCCAGCUCCAGUAGUAUAUUCUAACGUUGCUGCGGUUAAAACGCUCGUAGUUGGACAAUAGAGCGACUUGGUGCGGGCGGGGAGUGUAAUCAUUUCAUGUUAUUUCUUUAUAAUUGGUAUAAUUAUAUUAUAAUAUGUAUAAUAUAUGUAUUAUGAUUUUUUAUAUUUAAUUAUAAAAGUAAAUGCAUAAAUAGCACUUUUCAAUCAUGCUGCUAGGUCGCUCAAAAUAUUUCGUGAGAAUAGCAUAUGGCCUUAAUUGUGCUGUAUGUUUUAUCUUACGUAGUGUGCCUUGAAUAAAUCAUAGUGCUUAGAGCGAGCUAAUGCUUGAAUGUUAAUAGCAUGGAACGAAUGUUUUGUGAAUGUAUAGUAUAUUAUAAUGAUGUGUAAAUGUUAUUAUGUAUAUAUAUAGCGCCAACCACGAAGCGGAUCAUUGGUUACCGACUUCGGGUGAUGAUUAAGAGGGGCAUUUGGGGGCAUUAGUAUUUGGUCGCGAGAGGUGAAAUUCUUAGACCGGCCAAGGACUAACAAGUGCGAAAGCAUUUGCCAAGUAUGUUCCCUUUAAUCAAGAACGAAAGUGAGAGGUUCGAAGACGAUCAGAUACCGUCCUAGUUCUCACCGUAAACGAUGCCAACCCGGGAUCAGUUCGGAUGAUUUAUAUUAUGGAUCCAGGUUGGUCCCCCUGGGAAACCUUGAGUUUUUAGGUUCCGGGGGGAGUAUGGUUGCAAGGCUGAAACUUAAAGGAAUUGACGGAAGGGCACCACCAGGAGUGGAGCCUGCGGCUUAAUUUGACUCAACACGGGAAAACUCACCUGGUCCGAACAUCGAUAGGAUUGACAGACUAAUAGAUCUUUCAUGAUACGGUGGGUGGUGGUGCAUGGCCGUUCUUAGUUCGUGGAGCGAUCUGUCAGGUUAAUUCCGAUAACGAACGAGAUAACGUUCUUCAUUUAGGGGAUUGCAAUGCUUGAUAAUGUACUUAUGUAUUACUGCUUUUUGUGGUAAUGUAUAAUUGCCUAUUAAUUGUUGUGAUUUACGUGCUAUGUACGUCCCUAUGAAGAGACAGCCGGAAAUUAAGCCGGAGGAAGCGUUGCAAUAACAGGUCUGUGAUGCCCUUCGAUGUUCAGGGCCGCACGCGCGCUACAAUGAUAACGACAGCGAGAGUCUGGACUGAAAAGUUCUGGGUAAUCUUGGUAAUCGUUAUCGUGAUUAGGAUUGAGCAUUGUAAUUGUUGCUCAUGAAAUAGGAAUUCCUUGUAUUUGCGACUCACUCAGGUCGCAAAGAAUGCGUCUCUGCCCUUUGUACACACCGCCCGUCGCUACUACCGAGUGAAUAGUGUCAUGAUAUCUUGGGACUGGAUGUUGUUGGCAUAUAAUGUGCGGACGAUGCUAGGAGCAAGCUAGAAUGCGCAAUUCAGGUG
This 1656-nucleotide ribosomal RNA is filed under the name Myxidium rhodei. RNAcentral describes it as "SSU rRNA". It matches the Rfam family "Eukaryotic small subunit ribosomal RNA", at positions 338 to 1781 of the family's 1831-position model. Lineage: Eukaryota; Metazoa; Cnidaria; Myxozoa; Bivalvulida; Myxidiidae. The record is from RNAcentral.